GAAAUGCGAUAAGUAAUGUGAAUUGCAGAAUUCGGUGAAUCAUCGAAUCUUUGAACGCACCUUGCGCUCCUUGGUAUUCCUUGGAGCAUGCCUGUUUGAGUAUCAUGAAAUCUUCAAAGUAAAUCUUUUGUUAACUCAAUUGGUUUCUACUUUGGUAUUGGAGGUCUUUGCAGCUUCACACCUGCUCCUCUUUGUUCAUUAGCUGGAUCUCAGUGUUAUGCUUGGUUCCACUCGGCGUGAUAAGUUAUCUAUCGCUGAGGACACUGUAAAAGGUGGCCAAGGUAAAUGCAGGUGAACCGCUUCUAAUAGUCCAUUGACUUGGACAAUACUUUUAUGAUCUGAUCUCAAAUCAGGUAGGACUACCCGCUGAACUUAAGC
This 378-nucleotide unclassified non-coding RNA is filed under the name plant metagenome. RNAcentral's name for it is "partial contains 5.8S ribosomal RNA, internal transcribed spacer 2, and large subunit ribosomal RNA". The stretch from base 1 to 105 matches the Rfam family "5.8S ribosomal RNA", at positions 50 to 154 of the family's 154-position model. The record is from RNAcentral.